RNAcentral lists this ribosomal RNA (465 nucleotides) under uncultured bacterium. RNAcentral describes it as "partial 16S ribosomal RNA". It matches the Rfam family "Bacterial small subunit ribosomal RNA", at positions 338 to 795 of the family's 1533-position model. The record is from RNAcentral.
CCUACGGGAGGCAGCAGUGGGGAAUAUUGCGCAAUGGGCGAAAGCCUGACGCAGCGACGCCGCGUGAGGGAUGAAGGUCUUCGGAUCGUAAACCUCUGUCAGCAGGGAAGAACGGUCACUGUGCUAAUCAGCAGUGAAUUGACGGUACCUGCAAAGGAAGCACCGGCUAACUCCGUGCCAGCAGCCGCGGUAAUACGGAGGGGGCGAGCGUGAAUCGGAAUUACUGGGCGUAAAGCGCUCGUAGGCGGUAUGUCAAGUCAAGGGUGAAAUCCCCGCGCUCAACGUGGGAAGUGCCUUUGAAACUGGCAAGCUGGAGUGUGUGAGAGGAUAGUGGAAUUCCAGGUGUAGGAGUGAAAUCCGUAGAUAUCUGGAGGAACAUCAGUGGCGAAGGCGACUAUCUGGCACGUAACUGACGCUGAGGAGCGAAAGCGUGGGUAGCAAACAGGAUUAGAUACCCCAGUAGUC